AGACCCAACAACUAGCCCACCCCCCUUAAAACAACAAACAACAUCCAUAACCCCUAAAACCCCAUUAUAACUAAACAAACCAUUUUUCCCCCUUAGUACGGGCGACGGAAAAGGAAAACAGGCGCCAUAGAAAAAGUACCGCAAGGGAAAGUUGAAAGAGGAAAUGAAAAAACUCAGUUAAGACAUAAAAAGCAGAGAUAACACCUCGUACCUUUUGCAUCAUGAAUUAGCCAGUACCCACGAGCAAAAUGCAUUUUAGUUCGUAACCCCGAAACUAAGCGAGCUACUCCAAGACAGCCUAUAACAGGGCAAACCCGUCUCUGUGGCAAAAGAGUGGGAAGAGCUUCGAGUAGAGGUGACAGACCUACCGAGCUUAGUUAUAGCUGGUUGCCCAAGAAUUGAAUAGAAGUUCAGCCUUUUAACAUUCUUAAUUUAAAAAUGGUGCUACCUCCACCAAAUAUAAAAGAACCUUAAAAGAGUUAUUCAAAAGGGGUUCAGCCCUCUUGAAAAAAGACACAACUUUUAUAUGCAGGCUAAAGAUUAAAAGAAAUAAGGUAAAAUAUCUGAGUGGGCUUAAAAGCAGCCACCUCCCCAGAAAGCGUUAAAGCUCAAAUAACUUAAAAACCCCCAAUAUCAACAAAAAUAUCUCAAACCGCACAAAAUAUUAGGCUACUUUACGCCCCCGUAAAAGAAAUACUGCUAAUAUGAGUAAUAAGAGGGCUAAGACCCUCUCCCCGCACCCGUGUACAUCAGAACGAACCAACACUGAAAAUUAACGUCCCCCAACAAAGAGGGCAAUAAGACACAUAUAUUUAAACUAGAAAACCCCUCCACCCAACGAAACGUUGACCCAACACAGGUGUGCCUAAGGAAAGACUAAAAGAAAAAGAAGGAACUCGGCAAACAACGGCCUCGCCUGUUUACCAAAAACAUCGCCUCUUGCAUCCCCCAUAUAAGAGGUCCCGCCUGCCCUGUGACCAAAAGUUUAACGGCCGCGGUAUUUUGACCGUGCGAAGGUAGCGUAAUCACUUGUCUUUUAAAUGGAGACCGGUAUGAAUGGCAUAACGAGGGCUAAGCUGUCUCCUUUUUCCAGUCAAUGAAAUUGAUCUUCCCGUGCAGAAGCGGGUAUAAAAACAUAAGACGAGAAGACCCUAUGGAGCUUCAGACACCAGAACAGCCCACGUCAAUACUCUUCAAACUAAGAAGACAAACUAAAAGGACCCCUGUUCCCCUGUCUUUGGUUGGGGCGACCGCGGGGCAACAAAAAUCCCCCACGUGGAACGGGACCUUACUCCCUAAAACCAGAGCCACAGCUCUAAUAAACAGAAUUUCUGACCAUAAGAUCCGGCAAUGCCGAUCAACGGACCGAGUUACCCUAGGGAUAACAGCGCAAUCCUCUUUUAGAGCCCAUAUCGACAAGAGGGUUUACGACCUCGAUGUUGGAUCAGGACAUCCUAAUGGUGCAGCCGCUAUUAAGGGUUC
This 1482-nucleotide ribosomal RNA is filed under the name Butis koilomatodon (mud sleeper). RNAcentral's name for it is "partial 16S ribosomal RNA". It matches the Rfam family "Bacterial large subunit ribosomal RNA", at positions 120 to 2574 of the family's 2925-position model. Lineage: Eukaryota; Metazoa; Chordata; Actinopteri; Gobiiformes; Eleotridae. The record is from RNAcentral.